CAACCAUCAAGCCCCUCGGCUUGUGUUGGGGCCCUGCGGCCGCCCGCAGCCCCCGGAAUGCAGUGGCGGGCUCGUUGUCACCCCGAGUGCAGUAAUGCUCUUCUCUCUGGGCGUGGCGGCGGGUUCCGGCCGUGAAACAACCAAACCCAUCAA
Molecule: unclassified non-coding RNA, 153 nt
Filed under: uncultured Ascomycota
Lineage: Eukaryota; Fungi; Ascomycota
Description: sequence contains ITS2
Source: RNAcentral